RNAcentral lists this long non-coding RNA (205 nucleotides) under Elaeis guineensis (African oil palm). RNAcentral describes it as "long non-coding RNA (EGUI_LNC080858)". The record is from RNAcentral. Lineage: Eukaryota; Viridiplantae; Streptophyta; Magnoliopsida; Arecales; Arecaceae.
GCACCAAUUCUGUUGGUACAGAAUUCUGCCGACGUCGAAGAAGCUAGAGUUGAGAUGACCGCGGCCACCGUCGGGACCUGCAAAGGAAGUCUAAACCAGAGUUGGGGGUGCUCCGACAAGACCCUCCGACCCUCAAGUCAGUACUCUGCUUCAACAGAAAUGGAAUGCUCAAAUGGGAUUUUGGUAGAGUUUCGAGAUAGAGUUU